RNAcentral lists this ribosomal RNA (253 nucleotides) under uncultured bacterium. RNAcentral's name for it is "partial 16S ribosomal RNA". It matches the Rfam family "Bacterial small subunit ribosomal RNA", at positions 524 to 776 of the family's 1533-position model. The record is from RNAcentral.
UACGGAGGGUGCAAGCGUUAAUCGGAAUUACUGGGCGUAAAGGGUUCGUAGGUGGUUAGAUAAGUUAUCUGUAAAAUCCCUGGGCUUAACCUGGGCAGGUCAGAUAAGACUGUUUGACUCGAGUAUUGGAGAGGGUAGUGGAAUUUCCGGUGUAGCGGUGAAAUGCGUAGAGAUCGGAAGGAACACCAGUGGCGAAGGCGGCUACCUGGCCAAAUACUGACACUGAGGAACGAAAGCGUGGGGAGCAAACAGG